This is a non-coding RNA of Schistosoma haematobium, 104 nucleotides long. Lineage: Eukaryota; Metazoa; Platyhelminthes; Trematoda; Strigeidida; Schistosomatidae. The record is from Rfam.
UUACUCGUUUCGGCGGUACAUAUACUAAAAUUGGAACGAUACAGAGAUUAGCAUGGUCCCUGCUCAAGGAUGACACGCAAAAUCGUUUAGUUGCGCUUAGUUUU